UACGUAGGGACCGAGCGUUGUCCGGAAUCAUUGGGCGUAAAGGGCGCGUAGGCGGUCGUGACAAGUCACUUGUGAAAUCUCCGGGCUUAACUCGGAACGGUCAAGUGAUACUGUCGGACUAGAGUACAGAAGGGGCAACUGGAAUUCUCGGUGUAGCGGUGAAAUGCGUAGAUAUCGAGAGGAACACCUGCGGCGAAGGCGGGUUGCUGGGCUGAUACUGACGCUGAGGCGCGAAAGCCAGGGGAGCGAACGGG
Molecule: ribosomal RNA, 254 nt
Filed under: uncultured bacterium
Lineage: Bacteria
Description: partial 16S ribosomal RNA
Rfam family: Bacterial small subunit ribosomal RNA
Source: RNAcentral